Molecule: ribosomal RNA, 439 nt
Filed under: uncultured bacterium
Lineage: Bacteria
Description: partial 16S ribosomal RNA
Rfam family: Bacterial small subunit ribosomal RNA
Source: RNAcentral
CUACGGGUGGCUCCAGUGAGGAAUAUUGCACAAUGGGGGGAACCCUGAUGCAGCAACGCCGCGUGGAGGAUGACGCAUUUCGGUGUGUAAACUCCUUUUAUAUGUCAAGAAAAUGACGGUAGCAUAUGAAUAAGCACCGGCUAACUCCGUGCCAGCAGCCGCGGUAAUACGGAGGGUGCAAGCGUUACUCGGAAUCACUGGGCGUAAAGGACGCGUAGGCGGGUUGGAAAGUCAGGUGUGAAAUCCUACAGCUUAACUGUAGAACUGCACUUGAAACUUCUAAUCUAGAGUAUGGGAGGGGGAGAUGGAAUUAGUGGUGUAGGGGUAAAAUCCGUAGAUAUCACUAGGAAUACCUAAGGCGAAGGCGAUCUCCUGGAACAUUACUGACGCUAAGGCGUGAAAGCGUGGGGGGCAAACAGGAUUAGAUACCCUCGUAGUC